RNAcentral lists this ribosomal RNA (2927 nucleotides) under Klebsiella michiganensis. Its description in RNAcentral is "23S ribosomal RNA". It matches the Rfam family "Bacterial large subunit ribosomal RNA". The record is from RNAcentral. Lineage: Bacteria; Pseudomonadati; Pseudomonadota; Gammaproteobacteria; Enterobacterales; Enterobacteriaceae.
GGGUUGUGAGGUUAAGCGACUAAGCGUACACGGUGGAUGCCCUGGCAGUCAGAGGCGAUGAAGGACGUGCUAAUCUGCGAAAAGCGUCGGUAAGGUGAUAUGAACCGUUAUAGCCGGCGAUGUCCGAAUGGGGAAACCCAGUGCAAUUCGUUGCACUAUCGUUAACUGAAUACAUAGGUUAACGAGGCGAACCGGGGGAACUGAAACAUCUAAGUACCCCGAGGAAAAGAAAUCAACCGAGAUUCCCCCAGUAGCGGCGAGCGAACGGGGAGCAGCCCGGAGUCUGAAUCAGCUUGUGUGUUAGUGGAAGCGUCUGGAAAGUCGCAGGGUACAGGGUGAUACUCCCGUACACUAAAACACACAGGUUGUGAACUCGAAGAGUAGGGCGGGACACGUGGUAUCCUGUCUGAAUAUGGGGGGACCAUCCUCCAAGGCUAAAUACUCCUGACUGACCGAUAGUGAACCAGUACCGUGAGGGAAAGGCGAAAAGAACCCCGGCGAGGGGAGUGAAAAAGAACCUGAAACCGUGUACGUACAAGCAGUAGGAGCCCACUAGUUGGGUGACUGCGUACCUUUUGUAUAAUGGGUCAGCGACUUAUAUUCUGUAGCAAGGUUAACCGUAUAGGGGAGCCGCAGGGAAACCGAGUCUUAACUGGGCGUUAAGUUGCAGGGUAUAGACCCGAAACCCGGUGAUCUAGCCAUGGGCAGGUUGAAGGUUGGGUAACACUAACUGGAGGACCGAACCGACUAAUGUUGAAAAAUUAGCGGAUGACUUGUGGCUGGGGGUGAAAGGCCAAUCAAACCGGGAGAUAGCUGGUUCUCCCCGAAAGCUAUUUAGGUAGCGCCUCGUGAACUCAUCUUCGGGGGUAGAGCACUGUUUCGGCUAGGGGGUCAUCCCGACUUACCAACCCGAUGCAAACUACGAAUACCGAAGAAUGUUAUCACGGGAGACACACGGCGGGUGCUAACGUCCGUCGUGAAGAGGGAAACAACCCAGACCGCCAGCUAAGGUCCCAAAGUCAUGGUUAAGUGGGAAACGAUGUGGGAAGGCCCAGACAGCCAGGAUGUUGGCUUAGAAGCAGCCAUCAUUUAAAGAAAGCGUAAUAGCUCACUGGUCGAGUCGGCCUGCGCGGAAGAUGUAACGGGGCUAAACCAUGCACCGAAGCUGCGGCAGCGACACUAUGUGUUGUUGGGUAGGGGAGCGUUCUGUAAGCCGUUGAAGGUGGCCUGUGAGGGUUGCUGGAGGUAUCAGAAGUGCGAAUGCUGACAUAAGUAACGAUAAUGCGGGUGAAAAACCCGCACGCCGGAAGACCAAGGGUUCCUGUCCAACGUUAAUCGGGGCAGGGUGAGUCGACCCCUAAGGCGAGGCCGAAAGGCGUAGUCGAUGGGAAACAGGUUAAUAUUCCUGUACUCGGUGUUACUGCGAAGGGGGGACGGAGAAGGCUAUGUUGGCCGGGCGACGGUUGUCCCGGUUUAAGCAUGUAGGCGGAUGUUCCAGGUAAAUCCGGAACGUUACUAACGCUGAGGUGUGAUGACGAGGCACUACGGUGCUGAAGUGACAAAUGCCCUGCUUCCAGGAAAAGCCUCUAAGCAUCAGGUAACAUCAAAUCGUACCCCAAACCGACACAGGUGGUCAGGUAGAGAAUACCAAGGCGCUUGAGAGAACUCGGGUGAAGGAACUAGGCAAAAUGGUGCCGUAACUUCGGGAGAAGGCACGCUGAUGGUAGGUGAAGUGACUUGCUCAUGGAGCUGAAAUCAGUCGAAGAUACCAGCUGGCUGCAACUGUUUAUUAAAAACACAGCACUGUGCAAACACGAAAGUGGACGUAUACGGUGUGACGCCUGCCCGGUGCCGGAAGGUUAAUUGAUGGGGUUAUCCGUAAGGAGAAGCUCUUGAUCGAAGCCCCGGUAAACGGCGGCCGUAACUAUAACGGUCCUAAGGUAGCGAAAUUCCUUGUCGGGUAAGUUCCGACCUGCACGAAUGGCGUAAUGAUGGCCAGGCUGUCUCCACCCGAGACUCAGUGAAAUUGAACUCGCUGUGAAGAUGCAGUGUACCCGCGGCAAGACGGAAAGACCCCGUGAACCUUUACUAUAGCUUGACACUGAACACUGGUCCUUGAUGUGUAGGAUAGGUGGGAGGCUUUGAAGUGUGGACGCCAGUCUGCAUGGAGCCAUCCUUGAAAUACCACCCUUUAAUGGCUGGUGUUCUAACGUGGGCCCGUAAUCCGGGUUGCGGACAGUGUCUGGUGGGUAGUUUGACUGGGGCGGUCUCCUCCUAAAGAGUAACGGAGGAGCACGAAGGUCAGCUAAUCCUGGUCGGACAUCAGGAGGUUAGUGCAAUGGCAUAAGCUGGCUUGACUGCGAGCGUGACGGCGCGAGCAGGUGCGAAAGCAGGUCAUAGUGAUCCGGUGGUUCUGAAUGGAAGGGCCAUCGCUCAACGGAUAAAAGGUACUCCGGGGAUAACAGGCUGAUACCGCCCAAGAGUUCAUAUCGACGGCGGUGUUUGGCACCUCGAUGUCGGCUCAUCACAUCCUGGGGCUGAAGUAGGUCCCAAGGGUAUGGCUGUUCGCCAUUUAAAGUGGUACGCGAGCUGGGUUUAGAACGUCGUGAGACAGUUCGGUCCCUAUCUGCCGUGGGCGCUGGAGAAUUGAGGGGGGCUGCUCCUAGUACGAGAGGACCGGAGUGGACGCAUCACUGGUGUUCGGGUUGUCAUGCCAAUGGCAUUGCCCGGUAGCUAAAUGCGGAAGAGAUAAGUGCUGAAAGCAUCUAAGCACGAAACUUGCCCCGAGAUGAGUUCUCCCUGACUCCUUGAGAGUCCUGAAGGAACGUUGAAGACGACGACGUUGAUAGGCCGGGUGUGUAAGCGCAGCGAUGCGUUGAGCUAACCGGUACUAAUGAACCGUGAGGCUUAACCUUACAACGCCGAAG